UGGCUCAGUGGUAGAGUGCUUGCCUUGCAUGCAUGAGGUCCUGGGUUCGAUUCCUCAG
This is a non-coding RNA of Dipodomys ordii (Ord's kangaroo rat), 58 nucleotides long. Lineage: Eukaryota; Metazoa; Chordata; Mammalia; Rodentia; Heteromyidae. The record is from Rfam.